RNAcentral lists this long non-coding RNA (2061 nucleotides) under Homo sapiens (human). RNAcentral's name for it is "non-protein coding TEX26-AS1:5". Lineage: Eukaryota; Metazoa; Chordata; Mammalia; Primates; Hominidae. The record is from RNAcentral.
AGGGAGUUCUGCCCCUGCCAAGGGGUGCUGGCCACGCAGGAGGCUUAACCUGGCCGGCGCGGGAAUGGGGUGCAGAGAGCAAAGAAAUGUGGCUUUGAUCUUAUGGAUGCCUUACUUUUACAUUAUUUGUACAGUUCUUGCAGUGAGCUUUCCGGACCACUGUCUUGUAUGUUUCCUAAGAAAAGCAAAAAGGGAAGAGAUUGAAGAGAAAGUAGAUUUUCAACUACAAACUUUCAUCCAUUUGCUUUCAGCUUAAGCAAAUGUGCGCAAAGUUGUCAUGGAUUUUUGCAGUCAAUAAAAACCAAGCAAGAAGACUGAAUCCCAAGUCAUCUGGUAUAAAUGGAAGCAGUUUCUGUGAUAGUUCCACGCGGUCAGAAGGGUCAUCCUGGCUUAGGAGAGGGGCAGAAGAGGAAAUGCACGCGUGGAAACAGGAGUGGGCAGGGAGGAUGUGACACUGUCCUCCUCACCAGGCCACGUUCCUGGCACCAACCAUAGUGUUUGUGAGGGUCAAUUUAAUUGUUCUUGUGCUCUCAUAGAGGAAGCUGUGUCUUUCAUCCCCUUGUAAGAGUUUUCACUGAUGAAGGGGGUCUUUUAUCUUCAUAUCUUGGGAACUACUGAAACUGUUUCAAAGAGUCAAAGACACCAAUAACUAACAGAAAUUCUUGUUUUCAGGGGCAGAUAAGAAAAGAAACAAUUUGCUGAAACUCCCUCUGCUUAUAACAAAACUGACUGAAAUCAGCCGGAAUCAAUAUGGCCAAAUGCAGUUUGCGCACAGCAAGCUUGCUGAUGUCACAGCCUGAAUUUCUACUGCAUGUUUCAUACCAACUCCCUCCAAAUUUGCACAUGGGACCCACCAGGAAGCAUGAAGAGAGAGCCAUGCAUGCCUGAAGACUUCCCAGAUGUUCCCUUUGCUUCCACCAAUCACCUGCUAACCCCAGGAUCCAACCCUAAACCUUUUGUAAUAAAAUUACUGCCCUAAAGCCAGUACAAGACAGAUUUGAACUGGACUUUUGUUUCCUCAGAAGUUAACUUGCAAUGUGAAGCUUUCCUUUUCUCAAAAACUUGGUGUCAUAGUGUUGGCUUCUAGUGCAGUGAGCCCCUUUUGCUGGAUAACCUUACCUGGUAAUUUGACAUACUAGGUGGUUAGUAACUACUGACUGUCUCCAGGUUACAACACAGUUAUUACCCACUUGGGUGAAAAGAGAAGACAGGAAAUACAUUUUGGAGUUGGCUGGCAACCUGUUUACAAAGCAAUUUACAACAGUUCCUUAUUCUUAAGGGGCUAUUCUAAUACAAGACCUCAGAGAAACAGUGCAGUGUGACAAAGGAGGAAUUUAUCAAAGGAGACAGAAAAAGCAUCAAGGCAAGCUGUGAAAUGGUGCGGUAGGAACCAAAUAGAGAGCCAAAGGAUCUUUCUGUCACUGCAGGCCCUUAGGGAGACGGGGUCUCACUGUAUCAGCUCAGCUGGAGUACAGUGGUGAGAUCAGAGCUCACCGCAGCCUCCGGGCUCCUGGUCUCAAGCAAUCCGGACCUCAGCCUCCCAAGUAGUGGGGACUACAGAGAAUGUACAACUCCUCUGCCACAACGUGAGGGAGAGAAGUCUGCAGACGGCUGACUGGUGACGACUGAACAAGACGGAAAGGCAAGUCGCUAUGCCCGAAGCCUUUGAAGGGAGCCAGCAGGGUCCAUGGGAGGUUCAGGACACAUAUCUGCAGCCCUGCUUCUGGCCCCACCCUUGGGGAAGCCUUUUGCAGGUGAUCCUGGGCCUCUGCUGGGGAAGGCCCCAAGAGGUGAAGCAUCCUCUGCAGAGGAGAGAGCACAUCCGGAAGUAGAAGACAGACCACUGUCUGGGCUCCGUUUAACUGCUGUGAUUUGGGAUUGUAACUUACUCCCGUAAAGCCUCAGUUUCCCACAUGGAAAAUCAAAUCGAUCAUUGUUAUAACAUUUCACUUUUUUGUUAUGUGAUGUAAUUUACACAGUGCUUUCGUAUACGUUAUCCAAUUUAGCGAAAUAAUACAGAGCAAUGCAUUUUGAAAAGAAUAAAAUGCUUAACAUAUGUGA